RNAcentral lists this small RNA (26 nucleotides) under Bombyx mori (domestic silkworm). RNAcentral describes it as "ovarian small RNA-17863". The record is from RNAcentral. Lineage: Eukaryota; Metazoa; Arthropoda; Insecta; Lepidoptera; Bombycidae.
GUGCAGAGACAUUCGGAGUGAACUGC